Non-coding RNA from Peromyscus maniculatus bairdii (prairie deer mouse), 1045 nucleotides. The record is from RefSeq and is a predicted model, not a curated record. Lineage: Eukaryota; Metazoa; Chordata; Mammalia; Rodentia; Cricetidae.
UCCUCCUCCUCCUUUUUCUCCUCCUCCUUCUCCUCCUUCUCCUCCUUCUUCUUCUUUAUUGUUGUGUGUGCAUGCAUGUUCAUGAUGUUCAUGUGUGUGUGGGGGGGGGGGUCAUUCUGUAAGUACAGUGUGUCAUCUGCCUUUCCAGGUCCUGGCUGGGCGGAGAGCCCCAAGAUCCGUCUCUCUCUGUUCCCCGAGGGCUGGGAUUACAGGAGCUCGCCACCAUGCUUGGCGUUCCUUCCUUUGAUGGUUUGUAAACCUGAGUUCUGGCGAUUGAACUGGGGCUUUUAUGUUCACAAGGCGAACACGUUACCAACUGAGCUACCCCUCCAGCUCUCAAGAGUUUCUAGAAGAGUCUACUCUAUGGAAGCUAGUCAUUAAGAUAAAAAUUCGUUAUUGGCAACACAGACAAGGCUGACUGUUUGGUAUGGGAUAACCAAUUGGUGUGCUCCUCCCUGGGGAAGACUCUUCUCCUGCUCCCAGAGUUCCUUAGUCACCUGUAGCAAUGGCACUUUUUAAAAAGAAUCUCUGCUCUUCUAAAAGGUCCAUCAAGUCCCUCCUGGUAACAGUAUCCCAGGUGUCCUUUCAUUCAACAAACAUUGAUUGGACUCUCCAUGUCAGGAGCUGUUGUGGGUACCUGAAUCGACGGCUAUGGAGAAAAGCAAUCUGGAGGAUGAGAUAGUCAACAGGUUCUUAGUUGCUCAGAAUGGUCUUGAACUCAUCUCCUAACUCAAGCAGGCCUUGAACAUGCGGAGAUUCCAGACCUGCACCACGAGCACCAGAAAUGAGGAAGGCAGCAUUAAAGGAGACCGAAGGAAGAAAAGAGGAGCCUCCAGGGAUUCUAAGCCACCUGAGUGACGCCGUCACUUCUGUUUGAAUCUAGUCUCCACAGAACCGGGAGAUGGGAAAGUCAAGUCCCUUUGAAGAAGCUAUAAGGAAAUACAGCACCAGUCACCCCCUGAUUAAUGGGAGUGAAGGCAGAUUGUCCCCUACAGCCUCACGAUCCCAAGCUACAGCGAAAUUUUUAUUUCUUUAUUUCUUUCUU